UCGUCGAUGCCCGAGCGGUUAAUGGGGACGGACUAUAAAUUCGUUGACGAUAUGUCUACGCUGGUUCAAAUCUAGCUCGGCCCA
This 84-nucleotide transfer RNA is filed under the name Oryza sativa Japonica Group (Japanese rice). It matches the Rfam family "tRNA". From Rfam's summary of the family: Transfer RNA (tRNA) molecules are approximately 80 nucleotides in length. Their secondary structure includes four short double-helical elements and three loops (D, anti-codon, and T loops). The record is from Rfam by way of RNAcentral. Lineage: Eukaryota; Viridiplantae; Streptophyta; Magnoliopsida; Poales; Poaceae.